AGUUCGAUUCUGGCUCAGAUUGAACGCCGCGGGAUGCUUUACACAUGCAAGUCGAACGGCAGCAAUGGACUUCGGUCUGGUGGCGAGUGGCGAACGGGUGAGUAAUGCAUCGGAACGUGCCUAGUAGCGGGGGAUAACUACGGCGAAAGCGUAGCUAACACCGCAUACGCCCUUCGGGGGAAAGCGGGGGACCUUCGGGCCUCGCACUAUUAGAGCGGCCGAUAUCGGAUUAGCUAGUUGGUGGGGUACCACGUCGACCAAGGCGACGAUCCGUAGCUGGUUUGAGAGGACGACCAGCCACACUGGGACUGAGACACACGGCCCAGACUCUACGUGAGGCAGCAGUGGGGAAUUUUGGACAAUGGGGGAAACCUGAUCCAGCCAUCCUGGGCGUGUGCGAUGAAGGCCUUCGGGUUGUAAAGCACUUUUGGCAGGAAAGAAACGGGCACGGAGCAUAAUACCUCGUGCAACUGACGGUACCUGCAGAAUAAGCACCGGCUAACUACGCCAGCAGCCGCAGAACACAAAGCGUUAAUCGGAAUUACUGGGCGUAAAAGCGUGCGUGCAGGCGGUUCGAAAGAGAUGUGGAAACCCCAGAGCUUAACUUUGGAACUGCAUUUUUAACUACCGAGCUAUAGAGUGUGUCAGAGGAGGUGGAAUUCGCAGUGUAGCAGUGAAAUGCGUGAUAUGUGAGGAACACCGAUGGCGGCAGCCUCCUGGGAUAACACUGACGCUCAUGCACGAAAGUGUAGAGCAAAACAGAUUAGAUACUCCUGGUAGUCCACGCCCUAAACGAUGUCAACUAGCUGUUGGGGCCUUUCGGAACGGUAGCGCAGCUAACGCGUGAAGUUGACCGCCUGGGCAUGGUCGCAGAGAUUAAAACCCAAAGAAUUGACGGUAAUCACGCACAAGCGGUGGAUGAUGUGGAUUAAUUCGAUGCAACGCGAAAACCUUACCUACCCUGACAUGUCUGGAAUCCUGGAAGAUUUGGGAGUGCUGCAAGAGAACCGGAACACAGGUGCUGCAUGGCUGUCGUCAGUCAAGUCGAGAUGUUGGGUUAAGUCCCGCAACGAGCGCAACCUUUGCCAUUAGUUGCUACGAAAGGGCAUCAGAGAUUGCCGGUGACAAACCGGAGAAGGAUGACGCCGAGUCCUUUGGCCCUUAUGGGUAGGCUUCACACGUCAUACAAUGGUCGGGACAGAGGUCGCCAACCCGCGAGGGGGAGCCAAUCCCAGAAACCCGGAUCGUAGUCCGGAUCGCAGUUCAAUCGACUGCAGAAGUCGGAAUCAAAGAAAAUUCAUGGAUCAGUGCAUGUCGCGUGAAUACGUUCCCGGGUCUUGUACACACCGCCCGUCACACCAUGGGAGUGGGUUUACCAGAUGGUUAGCCUAACCGUAAGAGGCGAUUACUUUGUGAUUCAUGAUCAAAGAAGCCAACAAGGUAGCCCCAGCAUGCCACCGCGACGCUCCCA
RNAcentral lists this ribosomal RNA (1471 nucleotides) under uncultured Bordetella sp. Its description in RNAcentral is "partial 16S-23S ribosomal RNA intergenic spacer". It matches the Rfam family "Bacterial small subunit ribosomal RNA". Lineage: Bacteria; Pseudomonadati; Pseudomonadota; Betaproteobacteria; Burkholderiales; Alcaligenaceae. The record is from RNAcentral.